RNAcentral lists this ribosomal RNA (249 nucleotides) under uncultured Lactobacillus sp. RNAcentral's name for it is "partial 16S ribosomal RNA". It matches the Rfam family "Bacterial small subunit ribosomal RNA", at positions 114 to 355 of the family's 1533-position model. Lineage: Bacteria; Bacillati; Bacillota; Bacilli; Lactobacillales; Lactobacillaceae. The record is from RNAcentral.
CACGUGGGGAACCUGCCCCAUAGUCUGGGAUACCACUUGGAAACAGGUGCUAAUACCGGAUAAGAAAGCGGAUCGCAUGAUCAGCUUUUAAAAGGCGGCGUAAGCUGUCGCUAUGGGAUGGCCCCGCGGUGCAUUAGCUAGUUGGUAAGGUAAAGGCUUACCAAGGCGAUGAUGCAUAGCCGAGUUGAGAGACUGAUCGGCCACAUUGGGACUGAGACACGGCCCAAACUCCUACGGGAGGCAGCAGUC